Molecule: ribosomal RNA, 488 nt
Filed under: uncultured bacterium
Lineage: Bacteria
Description: bacterial SSU rRNA
Rfam family: Bacterial small subunit ribosomal RNA
Source: RNAcentral
GAUGAACGCUAGCGGCAGGCCUAACACAUGCAAGUCAGGGGUAACAUAGGAAAGCUUGCUUUUCUGAUGACGACCGGCGCACGGGUGCGUAACGCGUAUACAACCUACCUUUUAGCGGGGAAUAGCCCAGGGAAACUUGGAUUAAUGCCCCAUAGUAUAUAGACUUCUCCUGAAGUUUAUAUUAAACAUUUAUGGCUAUUAGAUGGGUAUGCGUCCUAUUAGUUAGUUGGUAAGGUAACGGCUUACCAAGGCAGCGAUAGGUAGGGGUCCUGAGAGGGAGAUCCCCACACUGGUACUGAGACACGGACCAGACUCCUACGGGAGGCAGCAGUGAGGAAUAUUGGACAAUGGGCGGGAGCCUGAUCCAGCCAUGCCGCGUGCAGGAAGACUGCCCUAUGGGUUGUAAACUGCUUUUUACAGAGGAAGAACCACCCCCACGUGUGGGGGGUUUGACGGUACUCUGCGAAUAAGGAUCGGCUAACUCCGUG